This 29-nucleotide non-coding RNA is filed under the name Mus musculus (house mouse). The record is from RNAcentral. Lineage: Eukaryota; Metazoa; Chordata; Mammalia; Rodentia; Muridae.
UGGUAGACGAAAUGUUGAACUGGCUUACA